AUCCGGCUGACGAGUCCCAAAUGGGACGAAAUAGGCGUCUUGAAU
Molecule: non-coding RNA, 45 nt
Filed under: Schistosoma margrebowiei
Lineage: Eukaryota; Metazoa; Platyhelminthes; Trematoda; Strigeidida; Schistosomatidae
Source: RNAcentral